GCGGAUGUGGCGGAACUGGUAGACGCACCAGAUUUAGGUUCUGGCGCCUUGGCGUGGGGGUUCGAGUCCCUCCAUCCGCACCA
This 83-nucleotide transfer RNA is filed under the name Pararhizobium sp. RNAcentral describes it as "tRNA-Leu". It matches the Rfam family "tRNA". From Rfam's summary of the family: Transfer RNA (tRNA) molecules are approximately 80 nucleotides in length. Their secondary structure includes four short double-helical elements and three loops (D, anti-codon, and T loops). The record is from RNAcentral. Lineage: Bacteria; Pseudomonadati; Pseudomonadota; Alphaproteobacteria; Hyphomicrobiales; Rhizobiaceae.